CCUACGGGGGGCAGCAGUGAGGAAUAUUGGUCAAUGGGCGCGAGCCUGAACCAGCCAAGCCGCGUGAGGGAUGAAGGUUCUAUGGAUCGUAAACCUCUUUUAUAAGGGAAUAAAGUGUGGGACGUGUCCUAUUUUGUAUGUACCUUACGAAUAAGGAUCGGCUAACUCCGUGCCAGCAGCCGCGGUAAUACGGAGGAUCCGAGCGUUAUCCGGAUUUAUUGGGUUUAAAGGGUGCGUAGGUGGCCUUUUAAGUCAGCGGUGAAAGUCUGUGGCUCAACCAUAGAAUUGCCGUUGAUACUGGAGGACUUGAGAAUGUUUGAGGCAGGCGGAAUGCGUGGUGUAGCGGUGAAAUGCUUAGAUAUCACGCAGAACCCCGAUUGCGAAGGCAGCCUGCCAGGCCAUAACUGACGCUGAUGCACGAAAGCGUGGGGAUCGAACAGGAUUAGAUACCCUUGUAGUC
Molecule: ribosomal RNA, 460 nt
Filed under: uncultured bacterium
Lineage: Bacteria
Description: partial 16S ribosomal RNA
Rfam family: Bacterial small subunit ribosomal RNA
Source: RNAcentral